GACGAACGCUGGCGGCGUGCUUAACACAUGCAAGUCGAACGGAAAGGCCCUGCUUUUGUGGGGUGCUCGAGUGGCGAACGGGUGAGUAACACGUGAGUAACCUGCCCUUGACUUUGGGAUAACUUCAGGCAACUGGGGCUAAUACCGGAUAGGAGCUCCUGCUGCAUGGUGGGGGUUGGAAAGUUUCGGCGGUUGGGGAUGGACUCGCGGCUUAUCAGCUUGUUGGUGGGGUAGUGGCUUACCAAGGCUUUGACGGGUAGCCGGCCUGAGAGGGUGACCGGCCACAAUGGGACUGAGAUACGGCCCAGACUCCUACGGGAGGCAGCAGUGGGGAAUAUUGCACAGUGGGCGGAAGCGUGAUGCAGCAACGCCGCGUGCGGGAUGACGGCCUUCGGGUUGUAAACCGCUUUCGCCUGUGACGAAGCGUGAGUGACGGUAAUGGGUAAAGAAGCACCGGCUAACUACGUG
RNAcentral lists this ribosomal RNA (468 nucleotides) under uncultured bacterium. RNAcentral's name for it is "partial 16S ribosomal RNA". It matches the Rfam family "Bacterial small subunit ribosomal RNA", at positions 28 to 507 of the family's 1533-position model. The record is from RNAcentral.